RNAcentral lists this ribosomal RNA (493 nucleotides) under uncultured bacterium. Its description in RNAcentral is "bacterial SSU rRNA". It matches the Rfam family "Bacterial small subunit ribosomal RNA", at positions 15 to 518 of the family's 1533-position model. The record is from RNAcentral.
GAUCAUGGCUCAGGAUGAACGCUGGCGGCGUGCUUAACACAUGCAAGUCGAACGAAGCAUUCCAACUCUCGGAGGAAGAAAUGACUGAGUGGCGGACGGGUGAGUAACGCGUGGGUAACCUGCCUUAUACAGGGGGAUAACAGUUAGAAAUGACUGCUAAUACCGCAUAACCCGCUAGUACCGCAUGGUACAGACGGAAAAGAUUUAUCGGUAUAAGAUGGACCCGCGUCUGAUUAGCUAGUUGGUGAGGUAAUGGCUCACCAAGGCGACGAUCAGUAGCCGGCUUGAGAGAGUGAACGGCCACAUUGGGACUGAGACACGGCCCAAACUCCUACGGGAGGCAGCAGUGGGGAAUAUUGCACAAUGGGGGAAACCCUGAUGCAGCAACGCCGCGUGAAGGAAGAAGUAUUUCGGUAUGUAAACUUCUAUCAGCAGGAAAGAAAAUGACGGUACCUGACUAAGAAGCCCCGGCUAACUACGUGCCAGCAGCCGC